AGAAUCAACGCUGGCGGCGUGCCUAACACAUGCAAGUCGAACGAGAAAGUGGAGCAAUCCAUGAGUAAAGUGGCGACCGGGUGAGUAACACGUGACUAACCUACCUUCGAGUGGGGGAUAACCUCGGGAAACCGAGGCUAAUACCGCAUAACAUCGCAAGAUCAAAGCAGCAAUGCGCUGGAAGAGGGGGUCGCGGCCUAUCAGCUUGUUGGUGAGGUAACGGCUCACCAAGGCGACGACGGGUA
This 245-nucleotide ribosomal RNA is filed under the name uncultured bacterium. RNAcentral's name for it is "partial small subunit ribosomal RNA". It matches the Rfam family "Bacterial small subunit ribosomal RNA", at positions 26 to 285 of the family's 1533-position model. The record is from RNAcentral.